Molecule: long non-coding RNA, 2810 nt
Organism: Culex pipiens pallens (northern house mosquito)
Lineage: Eukaryota; Metazoa; Arthropoda; Insecta; Diptera; Culicidae
Exons: 3
Source: RefSeq, a predicted model, not a curated record
AAUAUUAUCCACCGGUGUCUACCGCGGUAAAUGAAAUACUUCAUUUUGACAUUUUCAGAUACAUUUUUGUGUAGCAUGCUUUGUCACGCGUUGGGUGCGUUCAGUGCUGCCGUUGUUGCAGCACUUUGUGAACGCACCCUAGAAAUGUCAGUUUGACAAAUGGUCACCAGUGAACGUAUCCCAGGAAUGUCAUCUUGACAAACAGAUUUUGAUGUUUUCGUAUAUGUUUUGUUGUCCGAUAUGUAGUUUUCAUUUGCUACUAAAAUUAAUGGUACAAACUUUUCACUGGGAGUGGGACAUUUUUGCUCUGCUGAAAUCGAAAUCGCAUUAUUUUUAUGUGUAACAUACAAACCGAAGUCUCACCUGUCAACACGACAAAGGUCCACCUCGGAGAUCGCGACACGAACCGGAAUCCACCGCCACGAGACCGCGGGAUUAGCUGAGUUUGCCUGAAGGGACCGCUCAAGAGUUGACCAGCGGAAAAGCGAAGCAAGUGGAUGUUCCGGAAGUUGUUGCCGCUACUGCCUCACCAGAGAAAAAAGAAAACCAGAUCGAAAAGAAAGGUUCCCGGGACCGCAUUCGGUGGCCGCCGCCCAAAAGGGAUAAAAGGAUGCAUUCCUGCGGCUGCAGCCGCCGCCGAAGAACCGGAACUAGAAUCAGUUGAGACAGUUGAGAAGAAGGGACGCGGUCUGAAGUCAGAUGAAAAUGGUACGGGUCCAGGGUGAUACAGUCACAGGAACGGCGAGAGCCAAGGGGGUGGAUCAGGAGUAACUGCGGAAGAGACCCAGGCCAAACGUCGCCAUGGAAACCCAAAGGUUAUCGCGAAGGAACUGGAAGAGGAGGUGGCCGCUUAGCCAAAAAGGCAGAUUCUGCAAAAAGGCAGAGGUGCCUGGAGAAACCGAUGCAAAUUCUCUGCCAAAUCCAGCAGUAGCUGCUCCGGGUGCAAAAAGGCAACAACAUCCGAGGAGGCAGAUUUAGCAAUUUCCUGGAACUGCAAUCGCUGAGCGCCAGAAAGCUGAGCAGCUGCAAGAACGUCUUCGUCGUGGGCAUGCCGAUCGAGACGCGGUCUGGCAGAUACCGGAGAAACGUCGUCGCCGGUUGGCCAAUCCAACGUCACGAGGAACGUCGCCUGAAAUUUGAGGAGGAAAUCACUAGAUUGCGGAAAAAAAACUUGCCCCGCGGGUGAAAGCGAGGAGCGUGGUGGUGUGUACGAUGGAUGGCGAGGACUUGGUGCAACUUCCACUCCUGCAGAGAUUAAUAAGAAUACGACUGGAGAAACAUCCAUGAACCGCACCCACAAUCUUCAUGCGCACCCAAGAAGGAGGGAGAAUAGAACCUUACGGGUGGCUUUCACGGGGGUCGUCGAUCAGGCAAAACGCGUUGGCGCGUGACAAAGUUGAUCUUAAUCUACGGAAGGAUCGUGGAAAUCGCGACGAUCGUGGGCCAAUUCGGUGUUCGGCGAGAAUUCGGUCGCGGUGGUCGAUGUGACGUAGAAGUAAACCUCUAAUCAGCUGAAAAUCUCUUUUCUACGGGAGUGAUAAAGUGAAUACGGCGCAAAAUAUGAUUAACAAAGUGAUUGCAGCAAAUUUGGCCAAGUUGAGUGUGAGUAGCCAAUGCAGAUGGGCUCUUUGUUGAGUUGAAAUGGGGUUAGGUUAGGCGACAUAAUAAUUGGAUAUGGUCGAGAUUAUGAGUAAUAAAAACAGCUGAAAACUUAAAAAAAAAACAACUUGGUACGAAUCGAAUCACUAUCCGAAACAGUAAGAAAAAUCUCCUUUAAAACACAAACAUGGAAAAAAUAAAAUUUGCUCCAACAUUGAACUAUGAUUUCCAGAACGCACAAAAACCAUCCUAAUCUUCAAUGUGCUUUUCUAAAUAAAAACCUUAGUUAGAGGCAAUCAGAUUUGAUCAAAAUUCAAAAUCAAAACGAUGGGUUGCAUGAUAGAUCCCGACAACUUUUUCAUCAAAAUAUUUGAGAUCCGACCUCAAAAAAAGUGAAUAAAUAACACUUAAGUGCUCAUAACUUUUGAUGGGGUUGUCAGAUCUUCAAUCUUUCGAACGCGUUAGAAAGGUCUUCCAAAUACUUUUCUAACAAAAUAUAUCAUGACGAGUUUCUUACAAAAACCACCCUUUUUAUAAUAUUUCAAACUCUACACAAAUCGUUUUUUUAGCAUAACUUUUGAAGUACUUUUCUAAACUUCAUAAUAUUAACUAGGGUCGUGUGGGACUCCAAGACGAAUCGUAUGAGACCAAAACGGUUCAAAUCGGUUAAGCCAGUCCGGAGAUAAUCGUGUGCAUAUUUUUCGGUGCACGGACUCACAUCCAGACACACUCACAGACAUUUGUUCAGAAUUUGAUUCUGAGUCGAUAGGUAUACGUGAAGGUGGGUCUACGAGGUCAAAUAAAGAAGUUCAUUUUUCGAGUGAUUUUAUAGCCUUUCCUCAUUGAGAUGAGGAAGGCAAAAACGUUACCUCUCAUUUAUAGAGUGACUACCUACAGACUUUUUUUUAAGAUUGUACAUACACCGCCUAGGGGAAAUAGAUUGAGGUUAUGUAAAUUCAGACAAUUUUUUAAACUGCUUGUAAUUUUGGAUAGGUAAGUCAGAUCUCGAAAAUUCUUAAUCCACAAGAAAAGUAAUUUCAGAACCUGAUAAAAAAAAACCUAUCCAACGAUAGUUCGCAUGGAAGAUUCCGACGAUAUCGCACAAUAUCUGAAAUUCGACCUUCAAAAAGUGUAUAAAUAAUAGAGUGUAACAAAAAUGACUUUUUGGCGGGCAUUCAAGGGUUAGUUCUGGUGGGCAUACUAAGCCCAAA